GACGAACGCUGGCGGCGUGCUUAACACAUGCAAGUCGAACGGAAAGGCCCCAGCUUGCUGGGGUACUCGAGUGGCGAACGGGUGAGUAACACGUGGGUGAUCUGCCCUGCACUCUGGGAUAAGCCUGGGAAACUGGGUCUAAUACCGGAUAGGACCGUGCUUUAGUGUGUGCGGUGGAAAGUUUUUCGGUGCAGGAUGAGCCCGCGGCCUAUCAGCUUGUUGGUGGGGUAAUGGCCUACCAAGGCGGCGACGGGUAGCCGGCCUGAGAGGGGGUACGGCCACAUUGGGACUGAGACACGGCCCAGACUCCUACGGGAGGCAGCAGUGGGGAAUAUUGCACAAUGGGCGCAAGCCUGAUGCAGCGACGCCGCGUGGGGGAUGACGGCCUUCGGGUUGUAAACCCCUUUCGGCAGGGACGAAGCUUUUGUGACGGUACCUGCAUAAGAAGCACCGGCUAACUACGUG
Molecule: ribosomal RNA, 465 nt
Filed under: uncultured bacterium
Lineage: Bacteria
Description: partial 16S ribosomal RNA
Rfam family: Bacterial small subunit ribosomal RNA
Source: RNAcentral